UGUCAAUGCGAGAGGGCAAGAGUCUCAGUGCUGUAUUUUGUAGCAAAGCUAUGGCACAUAAUUAGACUUUCACCAUUGUUGUAUUGCGCAUGGCUAAAGUUUUUGUCGCAGUUUGCAUUCGGGUUAUUACGCCUUUACUCCAUGAGCAUGUUGCUUUGGUAUUUCUUAAUUAAGAACAGUUUUCUGACUCCAUCCUCCUCCGAGGAAGGAAAAGAGUUUUUGGGUGGUAUACAGCUUGGUGAAAAUAUUAUCACUGUUAUUAAGGUGUGUUUCAGGCUUCAAGCCUUUCGGGAUUGCUUUCGCAUCAAAACCACCCGCCACCCGCGUCUUAGUCUCCAGUUAUUCCUGAUUGCUACUUGCAUCUGCACCGUGACAACGUUUCAUGCCCAUCUCAACAUUUUAACACUUGAUUUAUAUACAUACACAUAUAAUACAAAAUGCCAUUAAACUCACUGCUAGUAACGGAUUAUGGUGUUACGCCGGCGAAAAAGAUCAGUUAAUUUUUCAUUUUUUGGGCUUCGGAAACCCAGAGCUGCUUCCUUGUAUAUUGAUCACACAGAUUACAGAGAUGACAUUAAGUUCGACAAAAAUACAGUGAACGCACAAUCUGGGACCACUACUCUUAGGGACUAAAGGAGGGAGGAAAGAAAGAAA
This is a long non-coding RNA of Juglans microcarpa x Juglans regia, 654 nucleotides long. RefSeq lists it as uncharacterized. The transcript has 2 exons. The record is from RefSeq and is a predicted model, not a curated record. NCBI's taxonomy places the organism in Eukaryota, Viridiplantae, Streptophyta, Magnoliopsida, Fagales, Juglandaceae.